CGGCGAGCGGGGCGGGCCCCGUGGGGCGGUCCCACGUGAAGAGCGGAGCCCCGCAGAGCCCGCGGGGAGCGCCGGGCCUGGGGGAGUGCGGAGUUCCUCCCUUUCGCCCUCCUCGGCAGCUCCUGCGGCCUCGGCAGCUGCCGCGGCCGCAGCGUAUGCGGGAAAAGCGCCCGCUCCCGGCGGAGCUCCGCCUGGGACAGGGCCGAGAAAUCCCCCGGGGGCGGCGAUAACGCGCCGCUGUUGUGUUUUCCUUCUUCGGACGGAAGUUACAGGCAGGAGCCCCAGGAAGGCGAGAGGAGGUCACGAUCGAGGCAUCAGAUCCCUCUCGUGGCCGUACCCAGCGCCUUCGGGAUUCGGCGUGCAGGUGGUGCACCAGAAAAAGGUGACGUCUUUUACCCCAAACCUCGAAAAGCCAGCUCCUGUCCGCUCUCCCUCCAGGCACACAACGCGAUUCUCCCACAGCUGUAGCAGAACGGCUCAGCUCGGAUGCACUGCACUCAAAACUUGCAGGGAAGGUGGAACGUGUGUAGAUGAUGGCUGAGGAUGCCAUCAUUACAGGUCUCAAAAUUCUUAGCUUGGUAUCUGCUGCACUGCGUUCAACGAGGCAGCUCCUUUUGAGUAACUACUUUAAGCAAUUCUUAAAAUAUUCUCUCAAAGAACAGCAGUUUGCUUUCUACAAGUGGUGAGAGACAUGGACAACAAUAAACCACUUCCCAACCUCACACAGGACCCGCUGCGCUGGGCACAUGUGUGAGGAACAAACCUUUUUGGGGAAACCGAGGACGCUAUCGGUAAAAAUCUUGGCCGCAUUACCCUGCCCAACAUCUUGCCCCACGAGAGCACACCGGACAAAGCACAGCGCAGGGUCCUCUUUCGCCCACGCUUUCCCGUCGGUACCGGCCCAGCCUCCUGCACCCCCAGCCCCAACGCCACCCGGGAGAGGCGCUUACAGG
Parus major (Great Tit) is the source of this 953-nucleotide long non-coding RNA. RefSeq lists it as uncharacterized. NCBI's taxonomy places the organism in Eukaryota, Metazoa, Chordata, Aves, Passeriformes, Paridae. The transcript has 3 exons. The record is from RefSeq and is a predicted model, not a curated record.